This 1556-nucleotide unclassified non-coding RNA is filed under the name Hevea brasiliensis (rubber tree). The record is from RNAcentral. Lineage: Eukaryota; Viridiplantae; Streptophyta; Magnoliopsida; Malpighiales; Euphorbiaceae.
CUGUCUACUGAAAUCUUCUGUUUCCUUGCCUCUCUUAUUGGGCUGAAGCAUAGGGGCCAUAUUUUCAUUCCCAAAAUAAUUCACUGGAUCAACACCACAUCCAGCUGGAACUGAAAAAAAAAAUAAAUAAAAUAAGAAAUCAUAUCAGGUAUCAGUUAAAAUACAUUAUGGCGCCCCAUUUGAGAGGUUGGGAGGCAAAGAAAUGCUUUUUGAAAAAGCACCAUUUUAGAUAUUGAAAAAAGCAGUUUAGUUAUUUUGGAGUUCUAAUGACUAAAACAUGUCAAAUUUAACUUUAAACCAAUUUUUAAUACCCUUUGACUAACAUAUUUAAUGAUGUGUUUUUCUCAACCACAGCUCCAAUAGCAAUGACAAACAGAUGUAUAUGUAUAUAUUUAGAUACAUAGAGAGAGAAAGAGAGCAACGGAGGGGAGAGGAUAUAAUGUAAAACCAAAACCAAAGAGAUAUUUGUAGUUCUGAUAUCUAGUUGCAGUGUUAGAAGUGAUCAAUAAUAUUCCAAUCUUAAUUUAUGUUUGCUAUCUUACCUACUUUAUAUCCAUGGCAUUAUAUGAACUUCAACUAUCAGAGAUAUAAUGUAUUACUUGAAACUUUGAUCCCUUGCACUGAAUGCAACUAUGGAUUUGCAAUAAUAGUAAAUCCUUAAAUAAAUUAUACAUCUUUUCACAACUUGAAAAAGGAUAUGCCGAAACUUACAAAUAGUAUAUAUUUUAUUUAUAAAAAUUUCACAUAGCACAUUUAAAGGAAGCAGUAAAGAGAGAAAAGGCAGCUUUUUUUAUUGUAAAUAAUAAUAAAAAAUUUCAGCAGGCCUUAUUACACUUAAAUAUACCACAUUAAAUGUAAUCGUAAGGCAUUGUUGAACAAUGUAUAUACUAUUUUAGAACUUUGACAAAUUUAGCAUUAUGUCUUUCAAAGUUUGGCUGCAAUUGACAGACCAAUAUGAAAGGUGUUUCAUAUAAUUGACAAAAUUAAUAAGACAGGUCAUAAUUGAAAUUCAACCAAAAGUUUGGAUAUUCUUUAGUUGUUAACCCUAAAAUUUACCCUAUUCUCAAUCAUUCAACAAACUUAGACAAAUCAUAACAUGUACAUAGUGCAGAGAAAAUUAAUCAAAACUGUGAUGAUACCAACAACAAUUGUUGGAUAACUAUUUUCCUUUCGGAAAAAGAGGGUAACAGCAAUCACAAUGCUGCCAGAAUUGAAAAUAAAAUUUCAGAAAGCUAAUACAUCAUAAGCAGAAAUUUAAAUUUAUGAAUUUACAUUAUCACUGCAGUUUUUCACAUAUCCUUGUCUCAAACAUUAACCACGUUUGAGAUGUUCUAUCCUGUAAGGCAUGACAAGAAAGACAAAUUUGCUCCUCGAUAGCACUUACUAGACAAGUUCCCCACUAACAAGAUAACUUUCUAGAAGGUAAAUAACUAAUAAAACCAGCAACGGCACACAUAUUUAUACAACAAAUACAGUAUAAAUUCAUGUAGUAAGAAUAAUCAUAAGUUUUUUUUCUGCAUAGAUGAAACUUACAAUUACCAAAUAACUGCAGCUGA